Molecule: ribosomal RNA, 1371 nt
Filed under: Staphylococcus aureus
Lineage: Bacteria; Bacillati; Bacillota; Bacilli; Caryophanales; Staphylococcaceae
Description: partial 23S ribosomal RNA
Rfam family: Bacterial large subunit ribosomal RNA
Source: RNAcentral
AGGCAAAUCCGGUACUCGUUAAGGCUGAGCUGUGAUGGGGAGAAGACAUUGUGUCUUCGAGUCGUUGAUUUCACACUGCCGAGAAAAGCCUCUAGAUAGAAAAUAGGUGCCCGUACCGCAAACCGACACAGGUAGUCAAGAUGAGAAUUCUAAGGUGAGCGAGCGAACUCUCGUUAAGGAACUCGGCAAAAUGACCCCGUAACUUCGGGAGAAGGGGUGCUCUUUAGGGUUAACGCCCAGAAGAGCCGCAGUGAAUAGGCCCAAGCGACUGUUUAUCAAAAACACAGGUCUCUGCUAAACCGUAAGGUGAUGUAUAGGGGCUGACGCCUGCCCGGUGCUGGAAGGUUAAGAGGAGUGGUUAGCUUCUGCGAAGCUACGAAUCGAAGCCCCAGUAAACGGCGGCCGUAACUAUAACGGUCCUAAGGUAGCGAAAUUCCUUGUCGGGUAAGUUCCGACCCGCACGAAAGGCGUAACGAUUUGGGCACUGUCUCAACGAGAGACUCGGUGAAAUCAUAGUACCUGUGAAGAUGCAGGUUACCCGCGACAGGACGGAAAGACCCCGUGGAGCUUUACUGUAGCCUGAUAUUGAAAUUCGGCACAGCUUGUACAGGAUAGGUAGGAGCCUUUGAAACGUGAGCGCUAGCUUACGUGGAGGCGCUGGUGGGAUACUACCCUAGCUGUGUUGGCUUUCUAACCCGCACCACUUAUCGUGGUGGGAGACAGUGUCAGGCGGGCAGUUUGACUGGGGCGGUCGCCUCCUAAAAGGUAACGGAGGCGCUCAAAGGUUCCCUCAGAAUGGUUGGAAAUCAUUCAUAGAGUGUAAAGGCAUAAGGGAGCUUGACUGCGAGACCUACAAGUCGAGCAGGGUCGAAAGACGGACUUAGUGAUCCGGUGGUUCCGCAUGGAAGGGCCAUCGCUCAACGGAUAAAAGCUACCCCGGGGAUAACAGGCUUAUCUCCCCCAAGAGUUCACAUCGACGGGGAGGUUUGGCACCUCGAUGUCGGCUCAUCGCAUCCUGGGGCUGUAGUCGGUCCCAAGGGUUGGGCUGUUCGCCCAUUAAAGCGGUACGCGAGCUGGGUUCAGAACGUCGUGAGACAGUUCGGUCCCUAUCCGUCGUGGGCGUAGGAAAUUUGAGAGGAGCUGUCCUUAGUACGAGAGGACCGGGAUGGACAUACCUCUGGUGUACCAGUUGUCGUGCCAACGGCAUAGCUGGGUAGCUAUGUGUGGACGGGAUAAGUGCUGAAAGCAUCUAAGCAUGAAGCCCCCCUCAAGAUGAGAUUUCCCAACUUCGGUUAUAAGAUCCCUCAAAGAUGAUGAGGUUAAUAGGUUCGAGGUGGAAGCAUGGUGACAUGUGGAGCUGACGAAUACUAA